RNAcentral lists this transfer RNA (360 nucleotides) under uncultured Microcystis sp. RNAcentral describes it as "partial 16S-23S ribosomal RNA intergenic spacer". The stretch from base 135 to 208 matches the Rfam family "tRNA". Lineage: Bacteria; Bacillati; Cyanobacteriota; Cyanophyceae; Chroococcales; Microcystaceae. The record is from RNAcentral.
AAAGGGAGACCUAAUUCAGGUAAAAGACGAAAAAAAGUAGUCGCUACCAAGAAUCAAUCCCAAAAGGUCGGAGCGAGGCGAAAUUGGCUUUCAAACUAGGUUCUGGGUUCAAACAAGACCUGAAUCAGGAACAAGGGCUAUUAGCUCAGGUGGUUAGAGCGCACCCCUGAUAAGGGUGAGGUCCCUGGUUCGAGUCCAGGAUGGCCCACCUGCACAGGUGGCAAAAACAAGAGAAGCUCCGAAUCAGCACCUUAUCUUACUGACAUAGUAAGAGAGAAUGCUGGCUCUGAGUAAAGAGUCCAGAGGAACCUUGAAAACUGCAUAGAGCUAGGUGAAAAAGCCAAAAAAGAAGACCGCAAG